UACGUAGGGUGCAAGCGUUAAUCGGAAUUACUGGGCGUAAAGCGUGCGCAGGCGGUGAUGUAAGACAGAUGUGAAAUCCCCGGGCUCAACCUGGGAACUGCAUUUGUGACUGCAUCGCUAGAGUACGGCAGAGGGGGAUGGAAUUCCGCGUGUAGCAGUGAAAUGCGUAGAUAUGCGGAGGAACACCGAUGGCGAAGGCAUCCCCUGGGCCGUACUGACGCUCAUGCACGAAAGCGUGGGGAGCAAACAGG
RNAcentral lists this ribosomal RNA (251 nucleotides) under uncultured bacterium. Its description in RNAcentral is "partial 16S ribosomal RNA". It matches the Rfam family "Bacterial small subunit ribosomal RNA", at positions 524 to 776 of the family's 1533-position model. The record is from RNAcentral.